CAUGCUGCACUGUUUUUUAUUCACAGAUGUGUCCAUUUCUCUAUCACACUCUGAAAUGGUCUGAUUCAGAGACUGUGACUGAUUUCAUCCUGAGUCCUUACCAUUGAGCUCAGUGUAUGGCACAGACUGGAAACUACACUUGGCCCUCAGUCAAUAUUUAUGAAUUUUUUUUUUUUUUAAGGAAUCAGAGGUAAUAGUUAUCUAAACUAGACUGGAAAAUGAUUACCGUGUAAAUGAAGAUAGUGAGGUCAAUCCCUGGAUGUAACCUCUAGCUUAGUGUGAAAUAGUGCUACCAUUCUAUUUCCAGUUGUUACAAUCAACUCCAUGAUAAAUUAUCACUAUGUAUCUCCAACUAUAAUCUUGAAGGUGGUAGAAAGCAAAGUCUAGGGUAAAAGUUACAUUAGGAAGUAUCACCUAGGCAGCAGGACUGAGGAAGAAAGGGGUGUUGGAUAGGAGAAUAUAGAGAUCAAAUGUAAGACUGUAUGACGAAGCUGGCAACUGUUGAAUACAAGGAAUACUUCAGUUUUUUUCAGCAUUGUCCUGCAGGAAGGCAAGUGAAACAACCAUCUUAGAACAUCCUUCUUAUAAGAGAAAAGGGGAAAAAUUUAACUACUGGCUCCAUAUGCCAUGGGGCAAAUAGUCAAGCCACAGGGCAGUAACUUGCAUUUCUAUAUACUUGGGCACUGAGGAGGGUUUUGUAUUAUUUGGUGAUUUGUGAUUGAUGGAGAAACCCUUGCUGCAAGAAGUGCCAUGUAUGUGAUGAAUGACAAUGCUAUGAAACAAGACUCAUUUACAUGGCACCUGAACUUGAUUAAUGUUGUGCAGGACUGGGUGUCAUAACAACUAGAACAAGAGACAGUUAGGCCAAGAAGAUCUAGAGUUGUUAAAGAGAUAGAUUCUGGAUACACUGUCCUGUUCUUUUACACCUGGCCUGUAAAGUAAAAAUACCAGUUUUGGUUUUAUUGCUCUAUGGGCUCAAAAGUCUGAUUUAGGAUCAGAAUCUAUAUUAUUGGAUAACCCAAACCUGUUCUUUCCAGUAGCAUCUACUAAUUAGAUUCAAAUCCUAGAUCUGCUAGUUUAUAGCUCUCUAAACUCAAGCAGUGAAAAAUUUUAGCCUCACUUUCCUACUAACAGUGAAAAGAGGAAUCAAAGAUUUUUUACAUAAAUUAGCAGAAUUAAUAACAUGUAAAAAUGCUUAUUAGCACUAUGCUUGGUAUGUAGAUGUCUCUCCAAAACUCAUAAUUAUUAUUUUACUUGCAAUUAGGACAAUAUUUAUAAAGUAAUGGAAUAUUUUGAAGAUAGAGCAAUGAAACUUAACAUUCCUGAACAUGUAAAGAUGGUUGAGUGGUGGAGAGUUCAUGGCAAAGAUUCAGUUAUUCAGGAGAGCAACUUUAAUACUGUUUGAAAGUAAGAACUUUUUGAAAGAUAAACUAAGUAGCACAGAUUUGGGAGCAAUGUUACGACACAUAGGAUGGUCGGUGUGAAAAGAACCCGCAGAAGCAAGAGGAUGUAAAAAUUUCUCAAAGAGCUAAACUGUUCAGUGGAGAAAGUAAGUGGUAUCAGUAUAAAGACUUGAAGUGGCUGGGUUUGAAUUUGAGACAAAAGGGGGAUUUUAGAGAUAACAUUUUAACAGAAUGAAGAAGAAAGAGGAUUAAUGCUGAAUCCCUAGAGAAGGCUUAUUUAUUGUUGUUUUAUGUUCCAGAUUACUUGAGCAACAGCAAUAUAAUGGGCAUUGUAUAAAACAUAGUUUAUGUCCCACUUACAAGAUUAGUAGGAAUAGAAUUCAUAGAUAAAAGGCAUCAGUUUAGUACUGAAUACCAUUGAGAAUUAUGAGGUGAUAGGCCACUUAUUUUUUUUCUCCUUUUUUUUUGAAGCCAAUGUCAAAUAAAAAUUAUCAUUGAAAAGGAUGUAUGCAGGAAUCAUACAUAAAGGCAGAGGAAUAUAAGUUAAAAAUAGAAUCUAAAAAUGAAGGAACCAUUAAGAAAAGUACAGAAAGACCAUUAGGAAUAAACUGAACAAAGAAAGAAAAGCCACUAUCAAGGUAUACUUAAAAUUGUCUGUUACAUGAGAGAAAAAUAAGUAAAAAUAUAUACAAUUCGGUGCACACAACUUAAAAAUAAUGUGUUAUGAUUUAUUUUUAAACAACUGAUAAAUAGCCAAUUGAUGGAAUCCAAGUAAUUGAGUUAGAUUAUCUUCCAGUAUUACUAACAAAGAAGUAAGAUCCUUUGAGCAUUUAAAUUAAAUCUGCUUAUUUACGCAAAUGUUCUUUUAAUGAAAUAUAUCAUAGUUUCUUCCUUUCUUGUUUGAUUUCUCAUUGAAUUCACUGUUAGCAAACAAUAUGUGAUGGAUUUGGAAAGAGGAAAACUCAAGAGUAGAAUAUGUAUUGAUGCAUCUGAGGUAAUCAUUCUCUAAAAAACAAGAGCACUGGGAAGCAGUUAUUUUGUAAUUAGCAAAAGAAAAGUGUUCAUUAAGAUAAGGGGUAUGAAGAGAUGUAUAUCAAUGUGACUAGAAAGAUACCUCAUGAGAAAACCAUUCUUUUCUUGAAGCCCUUAAUGACUGUUAAGCUGUGAGCAUAGGUUUUGGACUUUAACUAACCCAGUGCUUUUCAGAGUUGUCAAGAUCUUCUAGUACUGGCCAUGAGUCAGGAUAGAGAACAUUGGGGCUUUAUACUCAAUAGAAAUAAUAAUCAAGCAUAAUGUAAGUCUCUAAACACUGUCUUAUUGGUUCAAAACUAGAAUAGAGGAGUUCCCAUCAUGUCUCAGUGGAAACAAAUCUGACUAGCAUUCAUGAGGACAAGAACUCAGAUUCAAUCCCUGGCCUUGCUCAAUGGAUUAAGGAUCCGGCAUUGCUGUGAGCUGAGGUAUAAGUGGCAGACACUGCUUGGAUCUGGUGUUGCUGUGGCUGCGGAGUAGGGGCUGGAACUACAGCUCCAAUUUGACCCCUAGCCUAGGAACCUGCAUAUGCUAUGGGUGUGCCCCUUAAAAAAAAAAAAAAAAACUAGAAUAGGUACAUAGGAGAAAUAAUCAAUACAGAACAAGUGCAUUAUUCUUAACAAAUUAGUAUUUCUCUUGACUUCCAUUGCUGUUGUAUUGUUCUAGGUCAUUACCACCUCUCUCCUAGACCCCUGCUGGGUCAGCUCUGGAGCUUCUCUACUCAUCCUGCCUGCACCUACUGUGUUCUAUUAUCCACACAGUAGUCAGUAAUAGUGUUAAACAAUAAAUCAUAUUCUAUCACUUGCACUAUGUACGUAUUGCUCUUUCUUGACCUGCAUUAAGGAAUGCCCCACUUCAGUACCUUUGUGGUUAUUGUUCUCUCCACAUGUAAAGUUCUGUGUCUAGAUAUUCUAGGAUUCUCCAUCCCUUCAUUCAGAUCUACUCUCAAGGUAAUCAUCUCAUACUUGACUGCCCAGCCUAUCAUUACCACCUUAGUUUCUUCAAAACACUUACCACUAUAAAACAUUAUAUGUGUUUAUUUUCUCAUCCUUUAGAUGCAAACUGUAUGAAUGCAGAAGUUUGUUUGGUUCAUUAACAAAUCCUAUGGUCCAGAAAGCAUAGGGUCUCAAUUUUUUCUUGAACGGAUGAAAGAAUGAAAAGAAAAGAAUAGAGAAGUAUUUUUUUUUUCUUAUGGCUGCACCUGUGGUAUAUGGAAGUUUCCAGGCUAGGGACUGAAUAUAAGCCAUAGCUAUGGCUGCAACAGUGCCAGAUCCUUUAACCCACUGCACUGAGCUGGAGAUUGAACCCUUGCCAAGAUGCUGCAUUCAGAUUCUUAACCCAGUCCACCACAGCAGGAACUCCUAUAGAAGUGUUUUUAAACACAACUGGAACAGCAUUCUCAAUAUAUCUGUCUGUAAAUAUGGAAACAUUCUAUACUUGUCCUAUCUAAUACUGACGCCAAUAGAAAAAUGAGUCUAUUAAAUAUCUGAAAUGUGGCUAGUAAAACUGAGUCAUAUUUGUUUUCUUUAAUUAAAUUUGAAUAACCACAUCUCUAUUUCAUUGGCCAGUACAGUAAGGGGAAAGAAUGGAGGCAGGUGGAUAUCUGGCCUAUUGGCUGAGCAUAUUUACCAAAAUAUUAUGUGAUUAAUUUUUUUUUGAAAUACACCAUUGAUGAGUUGCCAUCUUGGUUCAGCAGUAAUGAACUGAGCCAGUAUCCAUGAGGAUGUGGGUUCUCUUGGUCUUGCUCAGUAGGUUAAGGAUCUGGCCUUGCUGUGUCAAUGCAGCUUGGAUCCUGUGUUGCUAUGGCUGUGGCAUAGACCAGCAGCUACAGCUGUUUUGACGCCUAGCCUGGGAACUUUCAUAUGCCAUAGGUGUGACCUUAAAAAGACAAAAAUAAAACAAUAAAAUAGAAAUUUCAAUGGGUUAUUUUAUGUUGUUUGAAAUGAGGGCCCUGAUGUUAUUACUUUAUUAAAACCUCAAUUUUCACUCCCAGAAUCUCAUUUUGACUAAUUUGGACUUGUAGUUCAAUUAUGUGAUAUUGGAACAUAUUAGUGAAUAAGAUAAAAUUUAUUUUUUUAACUACUGGGAAUAAAAUUAAAAUAAGAAAUUUUGAUUUUCAAAUUUUCAAAGCAUCUAUUAAACAGUUACUUCUAGUGAUGGCAAAGAUUUAGGUGAUGUAUUUAAAGGACUUAUUAAGAUUAUAAGAUUUUUGUCCAUUCAAUUUCACGUAUGAUUGGCUCUCCCUGUCCUCAGAUGUAGAACUCACAGAUAGGGAGAGCUGACCAUUUUGAGCAUCUUCUGGGGUCCAGGAACCAAUCCCCUGUGGAUACCAAAGGAUGACUGUGUAUGAAUUUUCCAGUGAAAUAAUCAGAUACAAGUUAAAUGUAUUUGGUAUAAAAUGAUUUUCAAGGAAGCUCUUUAUAACAAUGCAGCCAUAUCCUUAAUAUCCAAGGAUGAUAGAUUUAUACAAACUUGAAAUGUACUACAUACAAUUGUUGAGUUCAUAGUGGUACUAAAUCACUAAUUUUGUCCAAAAAAGAGAAUAACAUAUACUAAAAUAUAUUAUGUGUAUGUAUUAAUGUGUAUAUAAUUUAGAAUAAGUACUUUUUAAGUAAUUUAUAUAUUUUUAAGACUAAUAGCAAUAAAUGCCCUGGCUAAGGUUAAUAAUUAUCACUAUUUGAAAUAAAAGCUAACAAUUCAUUAGUCCUUGACCUUCUAAGUAAGCAGAUAUUUUUUCAUUUUCUUAGGUAAAACUUCUGCAGCUUAUAAAAGGAUCUUUUACUAUAAUUUUUUUAUUCUCCUGCUAGAUUCUAAUUACCUUGUAGUAUAUCCCUCUAAUUUACAAACUUCUUCAGUCUUUGCUCAAUCAUCUGCAUCUUUAGCUCAGAGGAACCAGAAUUAGCCAGAGUAGAGCUACAUCAGUUAAAAUGCCCUUGUGUGCUAGAAAGACGAUGUACACUGGUAUUGACUUAAAAUUGUACUACUUAUAUUGACUUGUAAUAUAAAUUUACUGAUUCCAGAGUUUAAAAAGGUCCAAAGAUGGGGAUAAUUGGGUUUGGUUUAAUGAAUACCACAUGAUUCCAGAUUAUGUUUCUUUCAUUUUUCUGCCUUCACUGAAAAGGUCCUGGGAUUCAAUCCUUUCAUCUUGAUUGUAUACCCAAUAUUGAAUCAUUCAGUGAGAUGUAUGGACAUGGUUAUAGUCCAUGGACAUCAUUUAAUCUUCAAGUAAGGGGUGGGAUAAUCUUUUCUGGACCCACAUAAACCUCAUAUUAAAACUUGAGUCUGUUAGACAGGAGGAAGGAAAAGUUUAUCCUAUGAAGAAAAUCAACAAGUACAGGAGUUCCUGUUGAGGCUCAGCAGAAACGAAUCUGAUGAGGAACCAUGAGGAUGUAGGUUCCAUCCCUGGCCUCGCUCUGCAGGUUGAAGAUCCAGCGUUACUGUGAACUGUGGUGUAGGUCACAGAUGUGGCUCUGAUACUGCAUUGCUGUGGCUGUGGUGUAGGCCAGCAGCUGCAGCUCUGAUUAGACCCCUAGUCUGGAAACUUUCAUAUACCAUGGGUGUGGCCCUAAAAAG
RNAcentral lists this long non-coding RNA (6005 nucleotides) under Sus scrofa (pig). Its description in RNAcentral is "lncRNA (ENSSSCG00000058660.1)". The record is from RNAcentral. Lineage: Eukaryota; Metazoa; Chordata; Mammalia; Artiodactyla; Suidae.